Malaclemys terrapin pileata is the source of this 594-nucleotide long non-coding RNA. RefSeq lists it as uncharacterized. The record is from RefSeq and is a predicted model, not a curated record. NCBI's taxonomy places the organism in Eukaryota, Metazoa, Chordata, Testudines, Emydidae. The transcript has 3 exons.
GGCUCCUGUACUCCAGCUCGGCGAGAGGCACAGGCAGAGUCGACUGGGGAGUGGCAUCAGUCAACUCACCGUAGUGAAGACAUCACAGAGGAGGGGUGGAGACCCAGAGAGACAAAGGAUUCUCACCUUGUGCCAAAGCUAUAAAAAGGGCAUGGAGCAGGAUAAAGUGGCAGCCAGUCAUGAGAAAGCCCCUGCUUACCACCUAAGAUGUCUGCUGAAACUAACACCGACUGUACCAGGGGACAGGAUUGGGCCCAGACUAGGAAGGAGUCUAGUCUGUGAAAGAAGCUUAUUGGAACAACUCUGAGGGUUUCACACAGACCAGUGAACAGCCCCCAGAUACCACAGCUUUGUUACUGCCAACCUGGGCCAGAAUUCCAAAACUCUGGAUCUCUGAAGGUUCAAAAGGAUUUUUGCCAAUACUCUGUCAAUAGAAUUUGGGUAAUAAAUAUGAAUCAUAGGACUGGAAGGGACCUCAAGAGGUCAUCUAGUCCAGUCCCCUGCAGUCAUGGCAGGACUGAUUACACUGGUCUACAAUUUUUGAGAAAUCGUCUGCUUCAGAGAUAAAAUGUGCUAUUUAUUAUGUAUUUUGAU